UUAUUAAAAUUAUUUGAUUUUUAUAAAUAAUUUAAUUAAAAUAAUUUUAAAUUUAUGUUUUUUAGUAUUUUAUAAAGAAUAAAUUAUAAUAAUUAUAUAUAAAUUGUAUUGUAUAAGAAUAUUUGAAAUAUAAUGAAAUAUUUUUUUUAAUAAAAGUAAAUUUUAUUUAUUAUACCUUUUGUAUCAGGGUUUAUUUAAUUAAUAAUAUUUAAAUUAAUAUUUUUCUCGAUUUUAAAAGAGUUAAUUUAUUAUGUUAGUUAUUGUAUUAUAAAUAUUAAUAAUAAUAUUUUAGAAAUGAAAUGUUAAUCGUUUUUAAAUUUAUCUAGUUUUUUUAGAAAUGAAUUUAAUUCAUAAAUUAGAUUAUUUAAUUUAAAAUUUAAAUUUUAAAUAAAUUUAAUUUUUAUAAUUUAGGGGGUUAUCUUUAAAUUAAUAAUUAUAAUUUUUUCAUAGUUAAUUAAAAUUUAUAAAUUUAGAAAUGAUUAAUAAUUAAAAAUUUUAAUAAUGUAUUUUAAAUCUUGUAAAUUUAAAUUUAAUUUUUUUAUUUAAAUAUAAUUUUCAAUAAUAAAAAUUUAGUAAUAAUGAUAUAAUUAGUAUAAUAAUUUUUUUGUAAAAUUAAUUAAAUGUUAAAGAUUAAAAUAAGGAAUUCGGCAAAAAUUUAUACUCGCCUGUUUAUCAAAAACUUGUCUUUUUGAAUAUAAUAUAAAGUCUAAUCUGCCCACUGAUUUAGAUAUUUAAGGGCCGCAGUAUUUUGACUGUGCAAAGGUAGCAUAAUCAUUAGUCUUUUAAUUAAAGUCUUGAAUGAAGGAUUGAACGAAGUAUAAUCUGUCUCAUUUUAAUAAAUAUUAAAAAUUAAUUUUUAAGUUAAAAAGCUUAAAUUAUUUUAAUAGACGAGAAGACCCUAUAGAACUUUAUAUUGAAUUUUAAUUUUAUUAAUUAAAUUUAUUAAAAUUAAUUAAAAUUUAUUAUUUUGUUGGGGUGACAAGAAAAUUAAAUAAACUUUUCUAAUUUGAUAUUCAUAAAUUAAUGAUUUUUUUUAAGAUCUUAUAUUAUAAAUUAUUAAAAUAAGUUACCUUAGGGAUAACAGCGUAAUUAUUUUUUAAAGUUCAUAUUAACAAAAUAGAUUACGACCUCGAUGUUGGAUUAAAAUUAAUAAUUAGGUGUAGAAGCUUAAAUUAUUUGGUCUGUUCGACCAUAUUAUUUUUACAUGAUCUGAGUUAAAAUCGGUGUAAGCCAGAUUGGUUUCUAUCUUUAAUAAAUUAUUUAUAUUUUAGU
Molecule: ribosomal RNA, 1272 nt
Filed under: Cephalcia infumata
Lineage: Eukaryota; Metazoa; Arthropoda; Insecta; Hymenoptera; Pamphiliidae
Description: 16S ribosomal RNA
Source: RNAcentral